AUUCUCCUCCAAACUCCCUUCCCAUCCAGCCUGGCACAUAACAUUGAGCAGAGUUCCAUGUGGUAUACAGUCAGUCCUUGUUAGUUAACCAUUUUAAUGUAGCAGUAAUACAGUGUCUUUGAAAAUAACUCCUUUACCUCUUUUUUCACUUUCUCUACUUCAGGCACUCUUUAGAAUAAACAGCCCAUUUCCACCUCACAACAGUCCAUGGAGGUAGAGUUAUCACCCCCAUUUUUGAAAUGCAAAACCAAGGCACAGAGAAGGGACAUCCCCUGUGUAAGAACACACAGCCCCUAAGUGCUGAGCCGGGACGGGCACCCACACCUCUGUCUCCGGAGCUGGUAUUAAGAUCCCGGAGGACUCACCCCAAGCUGUGAAGGAGCCGAGGGAAGUCAGGACCAGAGCUAAGAGCCACAUCCUGGAAAAAGAGCCGCUCCCGUCCCUUCAGGUGUCUGCGCUGCUCACAGGUGCUGUUUCAGUGCUGCUCCCAGCUGCCACCCCCAGCUCCCUCCACAAGCUCCAGCCCCAGCUGCUCAAUAACAAGCAAAUCUCUCCUCCCUUGCUUAUAAGUGGUUGGAGUGUGUGAGCCACGCCCACCCAGUUUACCAUCUCUGAAAUCAAGAACCCAGACUUAACUCUCCAAUUGCAGGGCAGGCGCAAGCAGACAAGAGGCCUUCAGAUAAGACAUUCACAUGACAACUAUUCACUGAGCUCACUGUGUGGGAAGCGCCGUGUGGAGGGUGUGUAUGCAGGAUCUCACUCAGUUCUCAAAAUCAACCCUUGAAUUGCUAUCAUGAUUUCCCAGUGCUCAGCGAGGACAAGGAAAUAGCCCACAGGCACGCAGUAAGUAAGAGGAAGAGCUGAGAACUGAACUACAACAGCACAAUGUUACAGCCCCAGCUCUAAACGUCGUGGGAACCGGAGUCCUGAGGUAUGAGGCUCCUUGCGAGUGAGAUGGAGCAGAAAUAAAGGGAUUGUCUCCAGGGCAGCAGACUGAAGAGGCAGCUCUGCCUUCUACACGCGUGCACUGUUUUCCAACGAUCAAUUGUCAAAACUGACCUGGUCCAGGCCAGAGAAAUGCUGACACAGGGAAGGAUUGGGCAACUAUAAACCACAUGACAAUCUUAGAAAAGUUGAUGGGUUCUUGGCCAAGAUCAUGGGUUGUGGCUGAAAUGAACCUUCUGGAGACCCAAGUUCUAAACGUGAUGCUCAUCGGCACUCAUUCUGGCAAUGGCAGACCAGUGAGGGGUGAGAGUUUGGGACCGCAGCGAAGUCAGCCCCAAGACGUGACUGCUUCUACAAAGACCAACCUGGGCUGGGGCUCCUCCCUUUCACCAGGAAAGAUACAUAGGUUCUAAAGAGUACCCUAAUAAAAAACACUCCUGUCUCUGUCCACACUGAACGAUCCAGGCUGUCUUCCAAAGUAGACAACAAGCCUGUUUCUAAUCACUUAGCUCUCAUACACACGUGUGUGCCUUACUACUUAUACAUACAUGUGCACCUGCCCCCCCCCCCAACACACACAGUGGUUAAGUCAUAGCCAUUCUGCCCUAUUCCCUGUUCAGCUGGCCUUUGCAACUUGUAAUUCAAUCCUGGCUCUUAGACUAUGAAGACCCCAGGAUGCUGCAUUCAUUUCAGUUCAGUUCAGUCGUUCAGUUGUGUCCAACUCUGAGACACCAUA
This is a long non-coding RNA of Odocoileus virginianus texanus, 1681 nucleotides long. RefSeq lists it as uncharacterized. The record is from RefSeq and is a predicted model, not a curated record. NCBI's taxonomy places the organism in Eukaryota, Metazoa, Chordata, Mammalia, Artiodactyla, Cervidae.